RNAcentral lists this long non-coding RNA (950 nucleotides) under Homo sapiens (human). RNAcentral's name for it is "HSALNT0364690". Lineage: Eukaryota; Metazoa; Chordata; Mammalia; Primates; Hominidae. The record is from RNAcentral.
UUUGGGUACUUCAAUCAGUCAUAGGUUUGGUCUUUUUACAUAGUCCCAUAGCUCUGGAAGGUAUUGUUCAUUGCUUUUAUAUUUUUUUCUCUAAUCUCGUCUGCCUGCCUUAUUUCAGAAAAGUAGUAUUCAAGCUCUGAUAUUCUUUCUUCUGCCUGGUUGAUUCAGCUAUUAAUACUUGUGUUUGCAUCAUGAAGCUCUCAUGCUGUGUUUCUCAGCUCCAACAGGUCAUUUGUAUUCCUCUCUAAACUGGUUAUUCUAAUUAACAUUUCCUGUAAUCUUUUAUCAUGGUUUUUGGCUUCUUUGCAUUGGGUUAGAACAUAAUCCUUUAGCUCAGCAAAGUUUGUCAUUACUCAGUUUCUGAUACCUACUUCUGUCAGUUCAUCCAUCUCAGCUUCAGCCCUGUUGUGUGCUCUUGCUGAAGAAAUGCUGAAAUCAUUUGAGAAGAAAAGGCAUUCCAGCUUUUGGAAUUUUCAGCGGUCUUGCACUGGUUUUUCAUCAUCUUUGUGGAUUUAUCUACCUUUAAUCUUUGAAGCUGUUGACCUUUGGAUGGGAUUUUUGUAGGGUCUUUUUUGUUGAUGCUGUUGUUAUUGUUGCUUUCGUUUUUUGUUUUUCUUCUAGCAGUCAGUCCCCUCUUCUGCAGGUCUGCUGCAAUUCGCUGGGGGUCCACUACAGAUACUGUUCACCUGGGUAUCAUCGAUGGAGGCUGCAGAACAGCAAAGAUUGCUGCCUGCUCCUUUCUAUGGAAGCUUCGUCCCAGAGAGGCACUUACCUGAUGCCUGUUGGAACUCUCCUGCAUAAGGAAGAAACUAAGUUCCAGUACUUGGAUGUCAACUUGCUGACGACAAGGCACUUCCUUACAAUGAGCCUGGAAUUCUAAGCAGCAGUUUCACAAUCUGUAAUUGCACGUUUCUGCCCUUUACAAUAAAGAAAUACACAGUUUCCUUUCA